GGGGUGCCUCCUGAGGCUCCAUGCCCAGUGCAACCAAACCGGUUGCGCUUCCCUAAAUCUGCCUCUGCCUGUUUCAGGGCCUUUGGUGGGCUUCUGCUAGCAGUUACCCCAAGGAAGCACUCCACCCACCGGCACAUUCAACACUGCAGAUGGAGGAGACCUCCGCCCAAUCAACACACUCCUUCCACCCCAAGUCCAGCACAAAGGGCGUCUGGAUUGCAAAGGAGUUUCAAGAAAAGAGAUUGAUAUGGCAGGAGAAUUACUUGUGUGAAACUGAAGUUUCUUUCAUGGAUCACAAGGCUGGAACAGAUUACAGCUAUUGAUUGCUGCCUGGAGAAUGUUCUCGCUGUGAGAACGGAAGGCGAGCAGCAGUGACAGACAGCUCAGCUAUUGAUCUACUCCAGCAGGGAAACUGCACUUCAAAAUGAAGCUGCCACCAUCCACAAUGGGCAAGAAUCCAGAAGACUGCUGCAGUAGUCCAUGAACUUUGUCUAUAUCUCCAGGCUGCAAUAACAGAAACUCACCCAAGCAGUAGCCAGCGGCCAUAGAUAGUUCAAGUACAAAUAUUGUCAAGGAGGACUUCAAAUUCAACUGGAUAUUAGAAAUUUUGUGAUCUAAACCUAGCUCACCUGCCAUCUACAACAGGUUAUUAGGAGGUUGAUAAUCACCUGGUUUGCUGCCUAGCUGGGACUGCAAAAACAGACAGGUUAUCAAGCAUCCUUCAGGCCACAAUACGUGACUUAGGGGCUGUGCAACAGGCUGCAUGUUGUGCAGGUCUAUUUUAGCUAUUUUGUAAAAAGGCCUAGGUGAGUCAAGCAGGCUAAGAAGAAAGCUUCUAAAAUCAGCGUGCCUUGCCAAAUGAUAUAUACCGUAUUGACCCAAAUAUAAGCAG
Long non-coding RNA from Podarcis raffonei (Aeolian wall lizard), 892 nucleotides. RefSeq lists it as uncharacterized. The transcript is spliced from 3 exons. Lineage: Eukaryota; Metazoa; Chordata; Lepidosauria; Squamata; Lacertidae. The record is from RefSeq and is a predicted model, not a curated record.